AUAACUAUUUUAUAUAUAUAUAUAUAUUUUUUAUUAAUAAAAAUUCUUGAAAUAAAUAAAUAAAAAUAAAAAACGAAUGGUAUUGUGUUUUAUUAUCGGAAUUUAUCUGGUUGUCAUCUGAUAUCUCUAUAUCUCAGACUGACCGGUUUACUGAUAAGGUCAAGGCAAACUUGGCAUAAAAACUAACUCCUACAGAUUGCUUAAGUGAAUUCUUACAUUAAAUACGAUAAUUAAAAUGAUUUAUUUCUCGGUAAAAAGUUGAGACUCAGGAGUGCUAUUUAUUCGGUCGUGUUUUAAAAAGGACUGUUCUGUAACUACCGGAAACUAACGUGGGCCGAUAUGUUACCAUGACAACCAGCAAUGACGUCAUAACAAGACCGGUCAUUCGGUACGACGAUCCAUUGAUUGAAGGUUUCUUUUGUCAUCGAUCUAGAUUUCUGACGGGUCGGUACCGUAGACAGUUCCACCCACUUAUUCACUUCCCCGUUACCACGAUUUUGGUGACGUCACUAAAUGGACAAAAUGCGAUUCUUUCGAUAUCGUUAAAAACCGCCGACCAAUUCAAUUAAUAUUGUCUUGUUAUUUGAAGACUUCAGAAAUGGAAAUUAGUUGACGUCAAUGGAACUGUUGACAUUGUCAAAGAGAGAUGAUGAUAUUUUAUCGUGACUGAAUGAACAAUUUUCCAUUUUAAUUAUGCAAAUUUUAUUAAAUUUUUAAUUUAAUAAAGAAAAAAAAAAGAACUUUUAAGGACAAUAUUUACGUGUGUAUCGAAAAUAAGGAAUAAAUUAAAUAAAAAUUAUCUGUUUGAGAAAAUAUUUUGAUGUAAACUGAUUAAAUUAUACAUAAAUUUAAUUUGAAGUUAUACCAUAUUUUGAAAGAUAGAACCAUCCACUUGUAUAGAUUAAAGAAAGAUUAAUCUAUAAACUUUCCAUUAAUGUUUAAUAUAUCUGCGAUUAGAAGUAAAUGGGAAUAAAUAUUGAAUAGGAUCUUAUAACUAAAUAAAACUUUCUUUAAUUCUUUUAUUUUAGAUAUAGAAUUAUAUAUAUAUAUAUAAAUAUUAUUAUGUUUUAUUGAUUUUUAA
This 1081-nucleotide long non-coding RNA is filed under the name Androctonus crassicauda. Lineage: Eukaryota; Metazoa; Arthropoda; Arachnida; Scorpiones; Buthidae. The record is from RNAcentral.